UAGUGGGAAUAAAGUACAGUGCACAAACAUGAAAUAAAGGUCUUUAAUAAUGCGUGGGAUUCUUUAAUUAAGACAGCCAAUUUCCUUUCAAACAAGUGGAGAACUUAAUAUGAGCAUACUGAUCCUGUAAAGAGAAAUGAUGGGGUGCCUAUUAAAUGGAGUAGGCCUUUGCUUGAUGAUUAUAGUUAUGUCGAUUAUUAUCUCCAGAUCAACAACGUCGAGUAUGUCAAUUUCAGGGCAUCCAAGCGUUUCUGCCGAGAACAACACGAACCAGCGGCUAUAUAAUAAUGGGACCAACAGUGUAGGAGAAGAAGAAGAAGAUCAUGAGUACUUGAAUGCAGAUCAUCGUGAAAAGGGUAAACAUGUUGUUCGAGGGUUCAUGGAUCAACGAGUCAUAUCGCAUGGAGCUCUUCAGGGAGUGAUUUAAUUAUUAGCCGGGUGGCCUUUCGUGAUAACUCCUCUAAGUAUUAUAUCAAUGACCGUCAAAGUAAUUUUACUGAAGUUACCAAGAAGCUGAAAGUGAAAGGAGUUAACCUUGACAACAACCAUUUUUGAUUCUCCAGAUUUGGUAGUUCUUAUGCAGUGUUUUUAGUUUGAAUAAGAAGCUCGUUUCUAUGUGCUCUGGACUUUUCUUGUUGAGUAUUGCCAGGGUGAAGUCGAGCAGAUUUCACUUAUGAAGCCAAAAUCUCAAGGACCUCAUGAUGAAGGUUUUCUUGAAUAUCUUGAGGACAUAAUUGGGACUAACAAGUAUGUUGAAAAAAAUUGACGAAUCAUACAAGCAGCGAGUACAUUGUCUACUUCUCAACUCAGUUGAACGUUUGCUUUCUUAUUCCUGCUCUAUACAUUGGCUUCCUAUUUUCCUAAAUGUAAUAACAGAUUACCUGUAUUAGUGCUAACUACAAGUACAAACUCUUGUUAUUUAUUUAAAAUUUGUAAGUUACUUGAAAAUUGAAAGCCAGUAACGGAAGUACCAUUUGCAACUGUAUGGCUUAUAGGGUACCCUUUCUGUGGUAUCUAAAACAUAUUAAUUCAAAGAGCCAACUCUGUGAUCUCCCCAUACCCAGUGUUCUUCAUGAGUUUGAGGUGUAUCCUCUGAUCUGAUGGUGCUGUACUGCUGUCCUUAUCAAACUGGAUUUAUUGGUUUUUCUUAUUUAUUUAGUAUGUUAAGAUAAAUUUUCCUUUCCCAUCACUUACCAAAUAUUUCCUAUCCUAUACAGAUUUUAUACAUUCUGUGCAGCUUCAAAUAUGUCUCACCUUUUCUGCUCCAUUUUGGUUCAAGUGAGUUUAACAUUCCUGGUUGCACUUUGUAUGUUUCUGAUACUUGUUAAUAAUCCAUUGGUCUCAUAGGCUAGAAUCGCUAGAUGAGAGCAGGUCUGGGGUGGUGCAAAUGGUUAAGUUGGCAGAGAAAGAAAGAGGUCUGGCUUAGAGGUAAGUAGACAGUAUUGAACAUCAACCAUCUUAUGUUUGACUCAUCAAUUAGAGGUUUAAGCAUAUUCUUCAACCUAUAGCUGAUGUUUGCAUUACAAAGGAACAACAAGGACUUGUAGAUUUUGAAUCCUUCUUCAGUGACACAAUUUGCCAUGAGUGUUGCCAUGGGAUUGGGCCACAUACCAUACCAUGCAACUUGAAAUGGGUUUGUGUACUUGUUGGGCCUCUUGACGUACUAGCUUCAGCUUUUAGGUUGGAUGCUCUUAACUUUAUAUCAGUGUUUGGUUUGUUUGUUCUUGAACUCCAGGUGUUGCCUUUAUUUUGGAUUUUGUUGGUUAUUGGGCCUGUUUGCCUUAAUUUUGGUGUUGUUUGGGCAUAGAUAGAUGUGAGAGGAUGCGUUAAGUAACUCAUAUUAGUUGUGUUUAGGACUUGGGAUCUGUUUAUGUACUUGUUGGGCCAAUUCACCUAUUAUGAGUUUUUAAAAGCUUACAAAAGUUUGAAUUUGUGAGUUCGGUUGUAAUGUCAUUUCCAAAGCUCUAUUUUGAUGGUGGAAGCUUAAGAUUGAUGUUCUUACCUAUAUCUCUGUGGUGAGACUAGGAUUGGCUUCCCAAGAGUUUGUUAAAGUCCAUGUACGUUUGCUGGAUAGUAUAUAUAGCUAUUUUUUU
Juglans regia (Persian walnut) is the source of this 2093-nucleotide long non-coding RNA. RefSeq lists it as uncharacterized. The record is from RefSeq and is a predicted model, not a curated record. The transcript has 2 exons. NCBI's taxonomy places the organism in Eukaryota, Viridiplantae, Streptophyta, Magnoliopsida, Fagales, Juglandaceae.